RNAcentral lists this long non-coding RNA (1475 nucleotides) under Acanthaster planci (crown-of-thorns starfish). Its description in RNAcentral is "uncharacterized LOC110989344, transcript variant X3". Lineage: Eukaryota; Metazoa; Echinodermata; Asteroidea; Valvatida; Acanthasteridae. The record is from RNAcentral.
GGUAAUUUAUUGGCGCGCUCGUGCAUGCGGCAUGCAUUUUACAGGACAAGCAAGACAAACGUUGGAACGUGAGGCACAAGUAUUGACCAGGAAACAGUGGUUGGUAGCACUCCCGAACGUCAUGAUCAACAAGUCUUGUGCCCUGACUACCUAUGGGCCUCUCCUGCAGUUUUCUUGGAGGACCAUGUUCGGGGCCCAUAGAGUUAUUGGCCAGAAACUCUACACACCCGUAUUUGAAUGCGAGGAGGCAGCGAAAAGUUUAAGUGCUGUGCGUGUGUCAAGCAAAACGGUUGAAUUUUGACAGAUUUUGAAGUCAGAAAUAUCAUUAAGCCCCAACUGUUUGACGUUGGCAUUUACGCAAGCCAGUAGGUGGUGAUAGAUGUAUGUUGGUGAGUCUUUGGAAUUUUUUAGGGUUGUAGGUCAACUCGACCGUCGACCAACUCGACCAUUGAACCAACUCGUCCGUUGACCAACUCGACUUCAAAGUCGAGUCAACUCGACCAUUAACCAAAUUUUCAGACAAACUCUUUCCUUGCAAAAUACAUAUUAAAAGGGGAAAAAUAAAGAUCGGAUCCAGAUCGCGAAAAUUAUGGAUGCUAAGUUCGGCUCAAUGAACCCACAAAAUCAACUGAAAUGCAAUCAAUAAUUGAACUUGUGCUAAUGAGAUACUCCAAAAUAUUGUUCCCAAUUUGAGAAGAAGCACACACGCAUGAACCCCUUGAAAUCUGUCACCACACUGUGCGCAUGCACAGAUCACAUCAAGCACAGUAAAACAAAUUGAACGCGCUAUCCAGAACUAGGAAAAAUGCAUUCCUUCUAUGCCCUGUCCCUAUUGCACUGUUUGCACGGUCGAGUUGGUUGAGAGUCGAGUUGGUCGACUGCUAUGUGCAUUUAUUUCAGCUAGAGCACAAGCUGCUGAUAAGUCGUUGCUUACAGGACGACCAGCUUCUUGGCAUUUCUUGAUGAUGAUGGCCACUGUUGUUAAGACUGUGAUCUCCUGUAUUAGCCUUUAGUUGGACCGAGAGAGAACACUUUUUCCUUGGCAUCAGAGGCUCCUUUGUUACUAACUGUGCAUCACUGGUUCAUGAACGACGAGGACAUGGUAGUAUAGCCCAAUCGCUAACAACAAAAUGAUUACUCCCAACCAACACGGCUCUUUUCAACCAAUUUAGUUGUGCUUCUACUCAAGGCAGAUUGAAGAGAUUGCUUGGCUGAAAAAACAGUUUCCCUAGUUUCAGUAGUUUGACAGAGAGACAAGAGCAAGCUAGUCCCUGGAGGCCGUUCUCUGGAGUGUAACAAAUCAGAGAUAUCUUAUCUUUGGUGACACUACUCAACAGUCAGAGCACAAGCCACUCAUGGUACAUCCAGUUUCUUGAUGAUGGAGUUCCUGCGCUCAUUGUUGAGGUGAUUGGUACUUUGAUCUCUUGCUGUUGCCUUCUAGGUAAAAGCUGUAGCAUUGAUGCAGAGACAAGACC